RNAcentral lists this ribosomal RNA (407 nucleotides) under uncultured bacterium. Its description in RNAcentral is "partial 16S ribosomal RNA". It matches the Rfam family "Bacterial small subunit ribosomal RNA", at positions 30 to 526 of the family's 1533-position model. The record is from RNAcentral.
AUUGAACGCUGGCGGCGUGCCUAAUACAUGCAAGUAGGACGCAGUUGCGAACGGGCGAGUGAAGCGUAGGUAAAUGCCUAUUAGAGGGGGAGAACUAUUGGAAACGAUAGCUAAUACCGCAUACUAGUAGAUGGACCUGCGUUGUAUUAGCUAGUAGGUAGGGUAAUGGCCUACCUAGGAAGAGAUACAUAGCCGACCUGGGAGGGGGAUCGGGCACAAUGGGACUGAGACACGGCCCAGACUCCUACGGGAGGCAGCAGGAGGGAAUCUUCGGCAAUGGGGGGAACCCUGACCAAGCAACGCCGCGUGAGUGAAGAAGGGUUUCGGAUCGUAAAGCUCUGUUGUUAAGGAAGCGGUACUUAACCAGAAAGGGACGGCUAACUACGUGCCAGCCGCCGCGGUAAUAC